Non-coding RNA from Zonotrichia albicollis (white-throated sparrow), 1543 nucleotides. Lineage: Eukaryota; Metazoa; Chordata; Aves; Passeriformes; Passerellidae. The record is from RefSeq and is a predicted model, not a curated record.
GACAAGGCGAGGGGUGAAAAGGCUCCGCCAGCGGAAUUGCAGCGCGAUGGUACCCGGUGGCUGGGGGUGGGGGGAAGAAAGAAAAAACCAAACCAGCUGAUGCAAAAAGGAGCCCGCAAGCUGUAAAGUUAAAGGAAAGUCGGCUUCCGUUGUCAUUUGCUGCUCCGAGUGCAGACGAGAUGCCUCAGUGAAAAACGUUGUAUUUCAUAUUUCUGUCAUGCAUACAAUGGAAAGCACCCUACGUCCAACAUAGGAAGCAUUCUAUUCAACACAGCUUUUUGGAGGUUUCGAUACAAAUUUUUGUACCAAAAAUUGGCCUCACUAUGGAGCAAAUUCAGAGCUCCCUGUCGCUGCUGGGGUUCUAUAUACCACACCAGGCCCCCUGAUCUGCUCGAGGAGCUGUUGGAAGUGAGCUGAACUGAAUCCAUCCUGCAUGCAGCUAUCUUGUGCCACCCCGUGUAAGAGCUGGGAAAUUACACAACUUUCUGACCACUGUGACCCGAGUUCGGCAUUGGAGUCCUGCAGAUGAGUUUCGUGCACUUUGAAGACACUUUUCAGUUUAUCAGCAACUGAGGCACAUUUAAAAAGUAUUGAAAUUUUUUAAUAUGAAAACUAAUUUUUUCUUAAAACGUGAUUUCUUUGUACUUAAGCUAGUUCUUCCUUUACAUUUGUAACUUUUACAUGAUAAUGUGCAUGAUACUAGUUCUUUAGGAAUGUGUUUUCAAUAUUCUAAUUAAUAUACCUUCAUAAUUGUGCUCUUUCCCGUUAUUUGCACUUUCUUUAUUUGCUGGUUGGUGGUGCUUGCUUUUUCUUUAGUGGUAUUUUUCUUUCUCAUGUUUUCCUCCAUGCAUUUUUUGCACCCUUACAUCCCUUUUUAAUUCCUUCCACACUUCUGCAUAUCAGUCACAUUAAUUCCAAGUUCAUUUAGUACCCUACAAUAAAAGAAACGUUGCUGCUAUUGUUGUGUCUGUUGGGCAACAGAUCAGCUGUGAUCAAGUCGGUAGCUGUCUAUAUAUUAUGUGUUAGUGGAAAGUUCUAAACCUUAGCCAGAGCUUUCAUUCUAGUUCUAAACUUAGUACUAUUACAAUCUGGAACGUGAAAGAGAUAAAAGAAAAAAGAUUUAUCUACCUUUCUGUGAUUUUACUGUGAUGAAGGUCUGUGUUUAGGAUACCGUGUUUAUACAGGUGAAAUUGUUAGCUGCAAAUGGUGUGGUGAUUCCGAGGUUUCCCUCGGUACUUCGGCUGCCGCGGUGUUAGUGCUGAUAUUGCCUGCACUCUUUUCCCUCAUGCAGGAGGUUCCGCUCGUGCUUUUGACACUCCUCUCACACCUUGGGCUCCCGAAGCAUCAGGCACGGCACUCCAGCCCUGCACAAACAACUCCGCGAGUGGAUUUGACAUUUUCCAUCCCGUGUCCCUGGGCGACCCAGGACUCGAGCUCUCGGGUCAGUCCGGCGACAAGCGGCACGGGCGGUGGGGGCGGGCGGUAUCGAGCCCAGGGACAACAGCUAAUGAGCGUUAAUCACGGCCAGCCGAGGGCUGCCCGG